Molecule: small nuclear RNA, 178 nt
Filed under: Lynx canadensis (Canada lynx)
Lineage: Eukaryota; Metazoa; Chordata; Mammalia; Carnivora; Felidae
Also listed under: 1 other name
Description: U2 spliceosomal RNA (ENSLCNG00005001009.1)
Rfam family: U2 spliceosomal RNA
About the family: U2 is a small nuclear RNA (snRNA) component of the spliceosome (involved in pre-mRNA splicing).
Source: Rfam by way of RNAcentral
AUCGCUUCUCGGCCUUUUGGCUAAGAUCAAGUGUAAAAAUAAAUAAACAUUAAACAAAAUUUUUAAAAUAAAUUUUGUUUUUUAAUUUUUAAAAAAGAUUUUAGGUAAUUUCCACAUCCAACAUGGGCCCCAAACUCACAACCCCGUGAUCAAGAGUUGCGUGCUCUACCCACUGACC